RNAcentral lists this ribosomal RNA (673 nucleotides) under uncultured bacterium. Its description in RNAcentral is "SSU rRNA". It matches the Rfam family "Bacterial small subunit ribosomal RNA", at positions 34 to 713 of the family's 1533-position model. The record is from RNAcentral.
CGCUGGCGGCGUGCUUAACACAUGCAAGUCGAACGGACCAUUCAAAGAGCUUGCUUAGAGAAUGGUUAGUGGCGGACGGGUGAGUAACACGUGGAUAAUCUGCCUAUGACACAGGGAUAACACUGUGAAAACGGUGCUAAUACCAGAUACGUUUAUCGAAUCGCCUGAUUUGAUAAAGAAAGGAGAAAUCCGGUCAUAGAUGAGUCCGCGGCUGAUUAGCUAGUUGGUGGGGUAACGGCCUACCAAGGCGAUGAUCAGUAGCCGGCCUGAGAGGGUGAACGGCCACACUGGGACUGAGACACGGCCCAGACUCCUACGGGAGGCAGCAGUGGGGAAUCUUCCGCAAUGGACGAAAGUCUGACGGAGCAACGCCGCGUGAGUGAAGAAGGCCUUCGGGUUGUAAAACUCUGUCUUCAGGGAAGAAAAAAAUGACGGUACCUGAGGAGGAAGCCACGGCUAACUACGUGCCAGCAGCCGCGGUAAUACGUAGGUGGCAAGCGUUGUCCGGAAUUAUUGGGCGUAAAGGGCGCGUAGGCGGUCAUUUAAGUCAGCUGUGAAAACUCUGGGCUCAACCCAGAGAUUGCAGUUGAAACUGGAUGACUUGAGUGCAGGAGAGGACAGUGGAAUUCCUAGUGUAGCGGUGAAAUGCGUAGAUAUUAGGAGGAACACCAGU